GCGGGCGAGCUACCGUGCAGUCGAGCGGAACGAUCCUAGCUUGCUAGGAGGCGUCGAGCGGCGGACGGGUGAGUAAUGCAUAGGAAUCUGCCCGAUAGUGGGGGAUAACCUGGGGAAACCCAGGCUAAUACCGCAUACGUCCUACGGGAGAAAGCAGGGGAUCUUCGGACCUUGCGCUAUCGGAUGAGCCUAUGUCGGAUUAGCUAGUUGGUGAGGUAAUGGCUCACCAAGGCCGCGAUCCGUAGCUGGUCUGAGAGGAUGAUCAGCCACAUCGGGACUGAGACACGGCCCGAACUCCUACGGGAGGCAGCAGUGGGGAAUAUUGGACAAUGGGCGAAAGCCUGAUCCAGCCAUGCCGCGUGUGUGAAGAAGGCUUUCGGGUUGUAAAGCACUUUCAGUGAGGAAGAACGCCUUCGGGUUAAUACCCUGGAGGAAAGACAUCACUCACAGAAGAAGCACCGGCUAACUCCGUGCCAGCAGCCGCGGUAAUACGGAGGGUGCGAGCGUUAAUCGGAAUUACUGGGCGUAAAGCGCGCGUAGGUGGCUUGAUAAGCCGGUUGUGAAAGCCCCGGGCUCAACCUGGGAACGGCAUCCGGAACUGUCAGGCUAGAGUGCAGGAGAGGAAGGUAGAAUUCCCGGUGUAGCGGUGAAAUGCGUAGAGAUCGGGAGGAAUACCAGUGGCGAAGGCGGCCUUCUGGACUGACACUGACACUGAGGUGCGAAAGCGUGGGUAGCAAACAGGAUUAGAUACCCUGGUAGUCCACGCCGUAAACGAUGUCGACUAGCCGUUGGGGUCCUUGAGACCUUUGUGGCGCAGUUAACGCGAUAAGUCGACCGCCUGGGGAGUACGGCCGCAAGGUUAAAACUCAAAUGAAUUGACGGGGGCCCGCACAAGCGGUGGAGCAUGUGGUUUAAUUCGAUGCAACGCGAAGAACCUUACCUACCCUUGACAUCGAGAGAACUUUCCAGAGAUGGAUUGGUGCCUUCGGGAACUCUCA
Molecule: ribosomal RNA, 998 nt
Filed under: Halomonas denitrificans
Lineage: Bacteria; Pseudomonadati; Pseudomonadota; Gammaproteobacteria; Oceanospirillales; Halomonadaceae
Description: bacterial SSU rRNA
Rfam family: Bacterial small subunit ribosomal RNA
Source: RNAcentral